GUAUAAGAGACAGCAGUAGCCGCGGGAACACAGAGGGUGCGAGCGUUAAUCGGAUUUACUGGGCGUAAAGCGUGCGUAGGCGGCUUUUUAAGUCGGAUGUGAAAUCCCUGAGCUUAACUUAGGAAUUGCAUUCGAUACUGGGAAGCUAGAGUAUGGGAGAGGAUGGUAGAAUUCCAGGUGUAGCGGUGAAAUGCGUAGAGAUCUGGAGGAAUACCGAUGGCGAAGGCAGCCAUCUGGCCUAAUACUGACGCUGAGGUACGAAAGCAUGGGGAGCAAACAGGAUUAGAUACCCGGGUAGUCCCUGUCUCUUAUAC
RNAcentral lists this ribosomal RNA (314 nucleotides) under uncultured bacterium. RNAcentral describes it as "partial 16S ribosomal RNA". It matches the Rfam family "Bacterial small subunit ribosomal RNA", at positions 495 to 807 of the family's 1533-position model. The record is from RNAcentral.